GGUGCAAUUCCAGGUAAUCGCAAGACUAAACACCACGUCUAAUCUAUUAAUUACUACUCUAAUGUUUCAAAGAUUAGAGCACUUGAUGCAAGCGGGAAUCUAAUAAAUAACUUGAAUGUAAAUAAAAGUAAUUAGAGAACUCAGGAGUUAUGAGUUGAAGAACCUGGAGAACGAUGAAGAACGAACUAGAUGCUGCAAAAGUACAAUGUUGAGGAAGAUCCGACAGAUCCGACUCCUCCUCCGCUCUCCUCUUCUCUCUCCCUAUUUUCUAGAUUACAACUAGAACUAACUAGAACUAGAACUAGAGGAACUAGAACUAGAACUAGAUGAACUAGAACUAGAUCUAGACGAACUAGAGGUAGAACUAGAAGAACUAGAGGGAUCCUCUCUACUUGGAUGAAGAAUUGAAACCCUAACUUUGAUUCUGUAGAAGAGGUAUGAUCUCCAGGGGCCAGGGGGGUCUGGUUUUAUAGUCCCUUCAAGUGAAUCUGGGCCGUCGGAUCAAACCGACAUUGAUCGCACGGUUUUCCUUGAUCCUUUAGGUCGGUGGAGCUUGGUCCGCAAAGUUGGACGUGUUUGACCACAACUCCUGGGCGGGCGCCCAAGGGGGGUGGGCGGGCGCCCUACCCCCGGGCCCGUUCGCCUUCCCGUUCGUUCCCGUGGCUUCUGGAGUCUUCUAGAUGACGUAAAAUUGUGCGGCACGUUAAUAUCUCUAUGUAAACCCGACGUGUGGGCCUUUCUUCCGUAUUUCCUGAUAACCCCCUGCAGAAACAGACAAACACCAAAACUCGUGGAAUUCUGUCAGAUAAAACCCUAAGUCUAGGUGUUGGUUGCAUUUGGAUCCUUUUCUAUGAUUAAUUGAUGGUUAAAUAUGAACAUUAAGGACCGUCAACAAGCUCCCCCAAGCUUAACCUUUGCUCGUCCCUGAGCAAAGAUGAACUCAAGAGUUUCUGCAGUGGUUUCAUGCCUUAAAAAUACACAUUCGUUCAAACAAGAUCUCAUCUCUGGGUUAGGGUAAACUGUUAAGAUUUAAAACUUACUCAUUUUACCUUCCACCAUGGGGCUUGCAACCGUCACUUGUGUCUUGAGCAGUUAAAAGAUAGAACGGUCUAGUCAAGCACCAUGUCUCUUGUUCUUCGAUUAACUAUAGCUCUGGAGUUUUUGCAGAUUUUCGAAUAAAACUCAGAGAUUCCUUGUAUGACUCUCUCUAGUCUCUCAUUUGUGGUAUUUCUGGAUCCUUACCAAGGCAGUAAAGGUGUAUGCCUUCUCUCCAAGUAUGUGGUAUUUGUGGUAUGAGGCAUAGUGGCAUUGCCUUCUCUCUCACCCUACUCUAAUAAGGUUUUGAUAUCUGGAGCUCAUAGGUGGGAGACAGCUAAUACAUACUUACAAGACAUUUAUUGCAUAGUCAAACCAUGGAUCCAGAAGAACAAGUCAAUAAGUCAAAUCAAGAUGUGCAUGUGUGGCGAAUGAAUGGUGUAUGGUAAUGAUGGUGAUAACAACGGUGAAAGUCUAAUUCUACUUAUGCUCUUUUGAGGAGGUACGUACCUUUCUUGCCCUUUUGAAACUUUUUGAGGAGAAUGAGAUGCUCUAUAUUUUCUUUUUUUUCUCUCUUUUUUUUCUUUUCUCUCAGUUGGGUAUCUUGUACCCCUAAUUCUACUGUCGGACACUUGUCCAUUUUUACCUCUCGUCUCACUUUUUCUUUUCUUUCGAGGUUCCGGGCACUUGCCCCUUUUUAUUUCCUCGUAUAUAUAUUUUUUUUAGAGCACUCAUCUCCUGAAAUAAUAUAGCAAGUGGUAGUAACCAAGAUAACUUGAGCAUUUUUUUUCACAGGGAAAAACAGAAAUAGGAGAAUGUUUUUGGCUAUUCUCUCCCGGAUUAGGAGUAGAAUAUUUUUGGGUGGUUCUGGAGAUGGAAAUGGAUGGAUAUAUGUGGAUGGUACUUCUGGAGUAGAAGUAGCAUGUGUGAGUGAACGUGCAAGUGAAUCUUUAUUUAACCGCAUGACAAGCUCCUAAGGGUCUACACAGCUUGACCACACUCAAUGCUCAUAAGCAGUAAAAAGUAAAUGUGUGGCUCAAAGUCUAGCAAGCAUGUAUAUAUGGCUGUGGUAGGAAUUUAAACUCUCAUCAUACAGGAACUCAUCAUGUGAUAUUUUAAAGAUUUUCAAAGAUAAAAUUCUCCAGAAUUCUAGCAUCUCUAGGAACAGAUAAACAGCAGCUCAACCUUCCCAUAUCGUAUCCGUUAACGACUUAGACUUUAGAUCAAGUACUCUCCCCACAAGUUCAGGUUUAGAGCAAAUCUUAAUUAAUACCAGUCAUGCCUAAACUUGAGAGAGAUUUCAAUUUUGAGAACUAGUCAUGGCAGAGCAACUAUUCAUCAUUUCCAUGUGAGAGCUUAUCAUGAGGGUUCAAAGCAAACUUUAUUUAUUUAUUUAUUUAGCAAACUAAGCAAAGAUAUAUAUAAGCACAAAAUCUUUAUUUGGGUUUCUAUGAUUAUGCAUUAUUUUAUUAUUAGAGUAAAGUAUAAACGUGAGUAGAAUACUUAGCUGGAUAAAUGGGGGUGCUCUCCCCCAAGCUAGAUUUUGACGUAGUUUCUUCUAAUGUAGCUAGCAAGUGGUGGAGGUGUAUUUGAAUGUCGGCAGCACCCUGACAGUGAUUAGGAUGUCCUCCGUCUGCUAGUCUUCUUUGAUCCUUGAAUUCUGUGGAGCUCAAAUAGACAACAAAGCUUUGUGGAACUAGUUAAGUGUUAGCAUAAAUAUCUAGCCUUUAUCAUGUUGAGCCUCCUCAAUAAAUGUUACUCUUUAGUAGGAUCAUAAUUUUAUUUUUAUAAUUUUAUUUUUAUAGGACAGGAAUAUAUUUAUUUUAUUUUUACGCCACCACAGUAAAUGUACUUAUGGGUUUUAUGCCAUGAGCAUACUCACAUGGGGCUUACUAUUUUUAACAUUUUUAUUUUCUUUUCAAGAUGAUAUGAACUGAUUAACUAAGCAAACUAUUUUAAAUAAUUGAAGGGAAAAAGAUAACUACCAAGUUUACCUCUUGGCAAGGCGUUCGGAGUUUUUAAGUCCUUCGAACGGGACUCUCCGUAUUCUCAAUCGUCCUAAGAUUCAGUGGAUGGCGUAGUCGGUGGUUCAGGCAGCGCCUCCUCUUCGUGUAUAAUUAUCUUUUUUCUCCACACCUGACUCGAUGGUACGGUCUCCUCAGGACAGUUCUGUUCAAGUUAUAUGUCUUCAGACCUUACAACUUCUCCAUCAUAGUCUACCCAUCCGUCCUUGAUGAUUUUGCCUUCUCUGGUUGCGGUUGCGCCGUCUCCUUCUUGUCCCGACCUGCUUAGAGUCUUCAACUAUAUAGUUAGGGUCAGUAAAAUAGCGGCGUACCUUCUCAGAGGUGAAGUGCAUGUGGACUUCUCGGGUUCCAAUGUAGAUGAUUGCUUUAACGGUGCUGAGGAACGGUCUCCUAAGGAUGAUGGAGGAUCAUACUUGUCUUCUCCCAUGUCAAUAACCUUUCAGAAUGUCUGAUCUGUCAUCUGGAGCUGAAUGUAUGUUGGUUGUAGGGACAUGGUUCCAUGCAGGAGCUGAUAAGUGACUGCGGCCAUUAUGUUGACGUUAGAUCCGGUGUCGUAGAGUGUCUUCUGAAAAGAAUAUCCGUUGAUUGUGCACUCGAUGCUUGGGACACCAGGGUCAUCCUUCUUGAUCAAGAAAGGUGACUUGAGUUGACAAUCUUGAUCUCCUUGAGCUGCAGUGACCAUCUUAGCUGACUCGGUACACAUUUGCUUAUUCUUGUUCCUCCUGUUGGUCCUCUUCCUUGGUUCAUGUUGGGAUUGCUCUGAGAUUUGUGUAGUCUUAUUCUUGAAGGUAAAUGUCUCCUUCCUUCCCUUGAUGUAGACACUGAUCUUGGCAGCACUAGCGUGGAUGACAGCUCCCGAGGUGUUCAGGAAUGGCCACCCUAGGAUGACGGGUGCCCUCUCAUCAGUAUCAGUCUCUAUCACCACGAAGUCUGCUGGAGCGUAUAAGGUACCAACUCGGACACAAAGGUUCUUCAAUAUUCUCUUUUGGAAACUUAGCGUCCGAUCUGCAAGCUGCAAACACAUGGUUGUCUCUAGUAAAGGAAGUGUAAAAUUUUUUUCAUAGAGUACCCUGGGCCUAAUGUUGACGCUGGAGCCAAAUUCGCAGAGUGCUUCUAGGAAGUCCACCAUGCCGAUGGAGAUCGGGAUGACGGGGUGUCCUAGAUUGUCUCUCUUGACCGGCAGAAGUUCAGUAAUUACUUCCACAACAGGGUUACUCUAGAAGUUACGUCCUUAAGCAUCUCAGGGCAGUGAUUGCCUAAGUGUCCAGUCUCUCCAGUGUGUUUGUGCUCGUAGAUCUACGUUCUUCACUUGGUGGAGUCUGGGAGUUAUAAAAGUCCUUCAUAUUUUGCUCGAAAUGUACCUGCUCAUAGAGACAAGGCAGAGAACAAGUGCAUGGGCCCUGUUGGUGGAAAACACCAACAGAACCAAAAGUGUAUUUGUUCUUCUCUAACCUUAAGCAUAGUGAGCAAGACAAAGUUGAUGGAUAAUAAGAUCAUGACUGUAGCAUUUAAAAUAUUUGUCAAAUCAGAUUACUCAACCUAAAAGAAAGAUAAUCUAUCUAUAUUUAUGUUGUUUUUCUUUCAUAAUAUAUAUCUUCCAGAGAUUGAGUGUGCAACAUUUUAGCUCAUAUGAUUAGGAGUGUGGGAUCACAAAGGUGGAAGGACUAAACAUAUUGAAUCGAUUGGGUUGGUGAAUCUAGAGUUGUAAAUCAUACAUGUUUGUCUCUUUUAUUCAUGUGAACGCCAGAACCAAGGAGAAGCUUAUAAAAGUGAUAGUCAAGUACCUUAAGAUGUUACCUUACUUGAAGAAUGAUGGUACGAUAUCUCCUUGUGGAAGCUUUCUUUUCUCAGCGGUUGUGCGUCGUGUUUGUGGCACCAUCCAUGGAUCAUCUCUUGUGAGCUAUGCCUUCCUUGUGUAAAUUGUUAAACUUUAUGUGCCUCUCUCUUUGUCUCCAAUGUGAGUUUGUCUCAGGACUUCCCAGGUCGAUAGUGAAAGUUUUCCUACAGGGGUUAGUCCAACAAAAUAUCCAAUAUCUACUAUAGCAUAUUAUUGGCUCAAAAACAACCUAGACACCAUGUCUAAUUUGAUUUAGGAGGGCAUUUUAACUUAGGCAUCAUACUUAAUUUAAACUCCCUUGGAAGUAAGAUCAUCAGCCCUAAACUAAGCACCAUGCUUAAUUAAGAGAUAAAUGAAACUACUCCAAACCUAGACAUAUACUAAAGCAAGUAAAGGUAGCAUGAGAGCAUUUAUAGAGAUCUACUCAAGUGGAGAUGAAGUAGUGUGAUUACUAUUUAACAAAUUGAGCAUGUCUCAAAGGUAGGGACAACCAACAUAGCAACAUGGCAAAGGAUGUUUUUAUGUAAAGUACUCCCCCAAGCUUGAAUUUUGCAAAAUUCAAGUUUGGAUGAAUUUAGUUCAAUGUUGUAUGAUGAUUGGUUGUACAUACCUUGUGCUUGUCAUUCAUCCGAUCUUCUUGCUCCAAUCCUAGAAAGGUUAGUGACAAGAAUACCCGAAGGAAUUUUUUUUACAAUUAUCCAUAUAUGCUCAAUACACAAGGUAGUGUUGCAAAUAAUUCAAAGCUCAUGUUACGAUCUGAUCAGUGCUUAUUUUAGGACACUAAGCUUGUCCUUGGGAAACCAUUAAUUUAUGUCAGCGAAGUGGUUUCCCCUCCAACGCUGACCUAUAUCAAGAUCAACUCAACGAGAUCUACAAUAUUUAAUAUAGACAUAUGCAUCGACAACCACCCUUUUAAAGUUUUUAUAAAUAUAAAGGAUGAGGGGGUUGGAGAUCUCCAAUGUGGUGAUGUUGGAGAGACCAAUGGAUUGUGAAGAUGUUGCAUAUGAGCAUGGAGUAAAUGAAGUGGCUAUGAAAUAAAUUCCAUGCUCAUUAAUGCUUAGAGUGAAAUCCAUGUGGUACGGUGAAAAUGAUAAGGUGAGUGUGGUAAAAAAGGAAAAGAAAAAAGGAUACACGGACGACUUGGUUCGAAACUAGCACAGCUACCGUUCCUCGGCAACGGCGCCAGAAAGCUUGUUGGGUAUUUUAAACGCAAACAGAAAAAUCCGCAAGCGCACGGAUACCGAUGUAGCUUUCACCCGGGAGUAUUCCAGAGUAUCGAUUUUCCACAGAGAACGUGAGUGUACUAAUUAAGAUCCAAGAUCGCCCAAGGAUAACUAUAUAAUUAUUUUUGGUGGGAAGAGAGGAAGUUUCCUGAGAGUUCUCUAGUUGAUCUAAGAAUCAAGAAUUACUUCAAGAUUAUCUAUAUCGGGACAUCAGAGCACUAACCACAGAAAGAGAUGAGAAGGGGGCUAGGAAGGUCUGACUACGGUCCUACAAACACCAAUCCGAACGUGGUGGAAUACGUCGACCGUUAGGGCUGUCACUACCCUAAGGCUACCACAACAAUCCGUGGGAUUGGGUGCAAUUCCAGGUAAUCGCAAGACUAAACACCACGUCUAAUCUAUUAAUUACUACUCUAAUGUUUCAAAGAUUAGAGCACUUGAUGCAAGCGGGAAUCUAAUAAAUAACUUGAAUGUAAAUAAAAGUAAUUAGAGAACUCAGGAGUUAUGAGUUGAAGAACCUGGAGAACGAUGAAGAACGAACUAGAUGCUGCAAAAGUACAAUGUUGAGGAAGAUCCGACAGAUCCGACUCCUCCUCCGCUCUCCUCUUCUCUCUCCCUAUUUUCUAGAUUACAACUAGAACUAACUAGAACUAGAACUAGAGGAACUAGAACUAGAACUAGAUGAACUAGAACUAGAUCUAGACGAACUAGAGGUAGAACUAGAAGAACUAGAGGGAUCCUCUCUACUUGGAUGAAGAAUUGAAACCCUAACUUUGAUUCUGUAGAAGAGGUAUGAUCUCCAGGGGCCAGGGGGGUCUGGUUUUAUAGUCCCUUCAAGUGAAUCUAGGCCGUCGGAUCAAACCGACAUUGAUCGCACGGUUUUCCUUGAUCCUUUAGGUCGGUGGAGCUUGGUCCGCAAAGUUGGACGUGUUUGACCACAACUCCUGGGCGGGCGCCCAAGGGGGGUGGGCGGGCGCCCUGCCCCCGGGCCCGUUCGCCUUCCCGUUCGUUCCCGUGGCUUCUGGAGUCUUCUAGAUGACGUAAAAUUGCGCGGCACGUUAAUAUCUCUAUGUAAACCCGACGUGUGGGCCUUUCUUCCGUAUUUCCUGAUAACCCCCUGCAGAAACAGACAAACACCAAAACUCGUGGAAUUCUGUCAGAUAAAAC
Molecule: long non-coding RNA, 7286 nt
Filed under: Sorghum bicolor (sorghum)
Lineage: Eukaryota; Viridiplantae; Streptophyta; Magnoliopsida; Poales; Poaceae
Description: long non-coding RNA (SBIC_LNC014552)
Source: RNAcentral